Molecule: ribosomal RNA, 1447 nt
Filed under: uncultured Bordetella sp.
Lineage: Bacteria; Pseudomonadati; Pseudomonadota; Betaproteobacteria; Burkholderiales; Alcaligenaceae
Description: partial 16S-23S ribosomal RNA intergenic spacer
Rfam family: Bacterial small subunit ribosomal RNA
Source: RNAcentral
GGUUCGAUUAUGGCUCAGAUUGAACGCUGGCGGGAUGCUUUACACAUGCAAGUCAGACGGCAGCGCGGACUUCGGUCUGGUGGCGAGUGGCGAACAGGUGAGUAAUGUAUCAGACGUCCUUGCCUAGUAGCGGGGAUAACUACGCGAAAGCGUAGCCGCCCUUCGGGGGAAAGCGGGGACCUUCGGGCCUCACUAUUAGAGCGGCCGAUAUCGGAUUAGCUAGUUGGUGGGGUAACGGCUCGCAAGGCGACGAUCCGUAGCUGGUUUGAGAGGACGACCAACCACACUGGAAUGAGACACGGCCCAGACUCCUACGGGAGGCAGCAGUGGGGAAUUUUUGGACAAUGGGGAAACCUGAUCCAGCCAUCCCGCGUGUGCGAUGAAGGCCUUCGGGUUGUAAAGCACUUUUGGCAGGAAAAGAAACGGCACAGGAUAAUACCCCGUGCAGCUGACAGUACCUGCAGAAUAAGCACCGGCUAACUACGUGCCAACAGCCGCGGUAAUACGUAAAGUGCAAGCGUUAAUCGGAAUUAUUACUGGGCGUAAAGCGUGCGCAGGCGGUUCGGAAGAAAGAUGUGAAAUCCCAGAGCUUAACUUUGAGACACAUUUUUAACUACCGAGCUAGAGUGUGUCAGGGGAGGUGGAAUUCCGCGUGUAGCAGUGAAAUGCGUAGAUAUGCGGAGAACACCGAUGGCGAAGGCAGCCUCCUGGGAUAACACUGACGCUCAUGCGAAAAGCAUUAAGGGUACAAACAGGAUUAGAUACCCUGGUAGUCCACGCCCUAAACGAUGUCAACUAGCUGUUGGGGCCUUCGGGCCUUGGUAUGCCAACUAACGCGUGAGUUGACCGCCUGGGAGGCACGGUCGCAAGAUUAAAGUAAAGGAAUUGACGGGGACCCACACAAGCGGUGGAUGAUGUGGAUUAAUUCGAUGCAACGCGAGAAAACCUUACCCUUGACAUGUCUGGAAUCCCGAAGAGAUUUGGGAGUGCUCGCAAGAGAACGGAACACAGGUGCUGCAUGGCUGUCGUCAGCUCGUGUCGUGAGAUGUUGAGUUAAGUCCCGCAACGAGCGCAACCCUUGUCAUUAGUUGCUACGAAGGGCACUCUAAUGAGACUGCCGGUGACAAACCGGAGGUGGUCCUCAUGGCCACUUAUGGGUAGGGCUUCACACGUCAUACAAUGGUCGGGACCCAGAGGGUCGCCAACCCGCGAGGGCCAAUCCCAAGAAACCCGAUCGUAGUCCGGAUCGCAGUCUGCAACUCGACUGCGUGAAGUCGGAAUCGCUAGUAAUCGCGGAUCAGCAUGUCGCGGUGAAUACAUUCCCGGGUCUUGUACACACCGCCCGUCACACCAUGGAGUGGGUUUUGCAGAAGAAGUAGUUAGCCUAACCGUAGGAGGGCGAUUACCACGGUAGGAUUCAUGACUGGGGCAAGUCGUAACAAGGUAA